CCUACGGGAGGCAGCAGUGGGGAAUAUUGGACAAUGGGCGCAAGCCUGAUCCAGCCAUGCCGCGUGUGUGAAGAAGGCUUUCGGGUUGUAAAGCACUUUCAGCGAGGAAGAAAGCGUGCCGUUUAAUACCCGGUACGGACGACAUCACUCGCAGAAGAAGCACCGGCUAACUCCGUGCCAGCAGCCGCGGUAAUACGGAGGGUGCAAGCGUUAAUCGGAAUUACUGGGCGUAAAGCGCGCGUAGGCGGCGUGUCACGCCGGGUGUGAAAGCCCCGGGCUCAACCUGGGAACGGCAUCCGGAACGGGCAGGCUAGAGUGCAGGAGAGGAAGGUAGAAUUCCCGGUGUAGCGGUGAAAUGCGUAGAGAUCGGGAGGAAUACCAGUGGCGAAGGCGGCCUUCUGGCCUGACACUGACGCUGAGGUGCGAAAGCGUGGGUAGCAAACAGGAUUAGAUACCCCUGGUAGUCCACGCCGUAAACGAUGUCGACUANCCNNUUGGGUCCCUUGANNNACUUAGUGNCGCANUUAACGCGAUAANUCNACCGCCUGNNNANUACGGCCGCANGGUUAAAACUCAAAUGAAUUGACGGGG
RNAcentral lists this ribosomal RNA (591 nucleotides) under uncultured Chromohalobacter sp. Its description in RNAcentral is "partial 16S ribosomal RNA". It matches the Rfam family "Bacterial small subunit ribosomal RNA", at positions 338 to 918 of the family's 1533-position model. Lineage: Bacteria; Pseudomonadati; Pseudomonadota; Gammaproteobacteria; Oceanospirillales; Halomonadaceae. The record is from RNAcentral.